Molecule: ribosomal RNA, 460 nt
Filed under: uncultured bacterium
Lineage: Bacteria
Description: partial 16S ribosomal RNA
Rfam family: Bacterial small subunit ribosomal RNA
Source: RNAcentral
CCUACGGGAGGCUGCAGUGAGGAAUAUUGGUCAAUGGACGAGAGUCUGAACCAGCCAAGUAGCGUGAAGGAUGACUGCCCUAUGGGUUGUAAACUUCUUUUAUAUGGGAAUAAAAUGUUCCACGUGUGGGAUUUUGUAUGUACCAUAUGAAUAAGGAUCGGCUAACUCCGUGCCAGCAGCCGCGGUAAUACGGAGGAUCCGAGCGUUAUCCGGAUUUAUUGGGUUUAAAGGGAGCGUAGGUGGAUUGUUAAGUCAGUUGUGAAAGUUUGCGGCUCAACCGUAAAAUUGCAGUUGAAACUGGCAGUCGUGAGUACAGUAGAGGUGGGCGGAAUGCGUGGUGUAGCGGUGAAAUGCUUAGAUAUCACGAAGAACUCCGAUUGCGAAGGCAGCUCACUGGACUGCAACUGACACUGAGGCUCGAAAGUGUGGGUAUCAAACAGGAUUAGAGACCCUAGUAGUC